UCCAGACUGUGCGCAAGUCCAAGGGCAAAACACUAACCCCAAGGGCGCAAUGAAGGUGACGAACGUCUCCGACGUUUUCAAACCAAUAGGUAAGAUCGGCAAAACCCGGCCCGUACAAUAGAUGGGUAAGCCUUAAAAACUUCCCUCUAAUCGGGUUCGGGUAACCACUGGUUGCCGCGCAUUACCAGGGCGCUCCGGCACUGUCCGGGGCGCACCCAGAGCGUACAGUUUGGUACCCGAAAGAUGGUGAUCUAUGCCUGGGCCGGACGAAGCCGGGGGAAACCCCGGUGGAGGUCUAGACCGAUUCUGACGUGCAAAUCGAUCGCAGGAUCUGGGCAUAGGGGCGAAAGACUAAUCGAACCAUCUAGUAGCUGGUUCCUUCCGA
This 385-nucleotide ribosomal RNA is filed under the name Zorotypus snyderi (Snyder's angel insect). Its description in RNAcentral is "LSU rRNA". It matches the Rfam family "Eukaryotic large subunit ribosomal RNA", at positions 674 to 964 of the family's 3401-position model. The record is from RNAcentral. Lineage: Eukaryota; Metazoa; Arthropoda; Insecta; Zoraptera; Zorotypidae.